UUAGUUUCUCAGCUCGGAGAUUUAAUCAGCAGUUUAUCGAAAAUAGUGCACGUUUUAUUUCUUAACUUUGAGGUUAUCAAUCGCUAAUCGUACCUGAUUGGUGAUGCGGCUUUGGAUUUUGUUAAUUCUAUUCUGCCUUGUUGUCGAUGUAGGCUCGUGGAGAAGACGUAGAAGACGAAGAAGGACCCCAUCAUGCUAUGCAAGGAAUGGAGGAUGGGGUGGCUGGGGUGGUUGGAGCAGUUGUUCCUGUAACCAUGUUACUGGUACUGGUACUUGGACUCGCUCCAGAUCCUGCAACAGUCCUACUCCAUACUGUGGUGGCAGCGGUUGUCCAGGUUCGUCCAUUAUGACGGGAAGUUGUGACAGUCAGUGUUGUCGUAUCACUAACGGAGCCUGGUCUGGAUGGGGCGGUUGGAGUAGUUGUUCCUGUAACCAUGCCACCGGUACUGGUACUUGGACUCGCUCCAGAUCUUGCAA
Molecule: long non-coding RNA, 477 nt
Organism: Bolinopsis microptera
Lineage: Eukaryota; Metazoa; Ctenophora; Tentaculata; Lobata; Bolinopsidae
Exons: 3
Source: RefSeq, a predicted model, not a curated record